This 2412-nucleotide small RNA is filed under the name Rattus norvegicus (Norway rat). RNAcentral's name for it is "uncharacterized LOC108349927". The record is from RNAcentral. Lineage: Eukaryota; Metazoa; Chordata; Mammalia; Rodentia; Muridae.
CAGAAGGAGGUGGCGGAGGUUGGCGGUGGGGGAGUAACGUGUUAGAACUUCCGUGAGGAUGGAGGAAGCAGUCACCACCCUGGCCUCGGUUCCUUUAUGUGUCUCACCCGCGUCCCGGCAGCCAUCUUAGAUCUACUGUGUAUGGCAGACCAGGACUCUCCGAGGAAGAAGCCUGGGGCGCCUCGCUCUCCAUCCCACUUUUUCCUUCGCAGGGUUGACCGCCACAGGAAAGAACAUGACAAGCGUCUCUGAUGAUCCUGAUCCUUGUGCGGCUUCAUGAGCCUUUGUGUUUGGCGAGAGGGAUCCAACAACCGAGGGAGCUUUGCUGGUCUCCCUUCAAUGCUGUCUGUGUUUGCCAAUGUGCUACAUCAAGAACAACUCCGUGUGAGAAGGUCAGGCUGGAAAGGCAAGCGGCUUGACCUCCCAUAUGUCAAGAAUCGUGGGGUUGGGGAGUUAGCUCAGCGGUAGAGCGCUUGCCUAGCAAGCACAAGGCCCUGGGUUCGGGCCUCAGCUCCGGAAAAAAAAAAAAAAAAAAAAGAAUCGUCUGUGCAAGGUGGCCAGGCGGCGACAAGAACUCACGACUUCUCCCCUUGCUUCCCACCGUUUAUUUACAGACAGCAACCUAAAUGUCCCAGAAUAAGAGAAUGGAUAAAUGUCAUUGAAACCCGAACAUUGAAUCACUAAACUUUGACUGUCACUAAACAUCUCUCAGCUAACUAAGCUUCCCAGAAGGUUUUUACUUCUCACACAGCCACAGGCCAUCCCUUCUGUGCUGCAGGAGGGGCCAUGUGCUAGGGACUGAGUGGACUCCCAUGAGCAUCGGGUACUCAAUACAUUCCCACAGGGUGUUACUAGUAUAGCGAGCUCUCUUCCCAUAACAGAACCCCAGAGUGCCUUCCCAGUAGCAAAGGUGUCCUUGGCAGCUUGUCUUAAGGCCUGGAACUGGACCUGAAACCUGCCUCUGAGGCCCUGAUGUCCACAUUAGCCCUCACACUGUUCUAGCUCCAUCCAGCCUGAUGGAGCUCAGUUCAGCCAGGAUUCCAGAGAGGAAGUUUCCUCAAAUCAGUAGCCUACUCUGGAAAAAGAUGAGGGACCCUCUUACAAAUCUAGGCUGUAAUUCUCAUCCCUUUCCAGAGUCAAACGGAUGGACAGACGGCUGCCUGAUGGGAGAGUUGCAGUUUUCUGCUCACACAAACUUACAACUUGCAUAACAGUGAGGAUCUGGUCUCCUCCGGGUUAUGCAGGAGGCAGUGCUGUGAUUGGUGCUACAUGCCUGGGCCAUCCCAGCACACCAGGAAAAUGCACAGAGCUCACAAAGAGGCUUUGUAGCACCUCAGAGCAGUGUGGUCAUACCAUGGACCAGGCAGGCUGCACCUCAGAAUCCCUGGGCAGCAAAGGUAUCACAGCAGCGGGGUGGUCCCCAAAACUCUACCGUCCUCACACUCAAAGGAGGAAAGGAGACCUCGGGCUUAAGAAACAGACUCCACGAGGUGACUUAGCACCCUUGGGUCUGACCGAAGGGUCCUGUACCACAGCAGCUCCUGAGGGAAAGCAGUACUGCCUGGGCAGGGUCUGGAGAUGCAGGAGGAUGCUAAGCUUGAGAAAGGGUCAGCCUGCACAGUCUGGCCUAGGGAGACCCUAGACACCACCCUCGUCCCUCAUGUUUCUCCAGAAAAGAGCCACCCUCCCCCUUGGUGAUUAGAUAUGCUACCUGGUUCAGCCAACACCAGUAGGCAGGACUCGGUGAUAAGGUCAAUGACCUUUAAGGAACUGCCCUGUGAGUACUUUGGCAUGGCAUUGGGCAGCUGAAGGAACUCAGCCAUCCAUUGUGGCUUUCUAAGCUGCUCAUAGCCCAGCGCUUGCUGCCUAGCCCAGUUUCCUGUCUGUCACCUCCAUCCAUUCAACAUUCCCACACCACAUGCUAUGGGUGGCCCCACCUCAGGCAGGGCAGUGCUCUGGUGUGGGGUAGAGAGCACAGUAGAGAGCCAAACCACACAAGCUGCAUCUAACCAGAAACUCAAUAUCCCUUUCCCUGUUCCCUCUCCUUCCCUGCCCCCUUCUGCUUUGUGUGUAUGUGUGUAUGUGUGUAUGAGAGAAAGAAUGCAUUCCCAAUUAGUGAAAGCUUCAUCCUUCACUCUCUUCCUUCACCAUUGCUCCUCCCAGGGGACUUGGGCUGGUGGCAGCAAGCUUGAUACUCCAGGAAUGCCAGGUGACUCCAUAUCCUGCCGAGAUGACAACCGAAAUCAGCCCUCACAGGACUCAACAUCAUUAGUCACUAGGGAAAUGCGAGUCAAAGCUACAGUGAAAUACUACUGUACGUCAUGGGCUGGAGAUUGGCGUUAAUGCUUUGACUCUGCAUGUCCAGAUGCAUGGUUUUUGAUCUGUCAAUAAAGAUGUCAGCAGCCAGUGGCA